UAGGAGGAGGGGCAAGUCCCACGCGGAAGUCAGGUAGAUGUGCCACCUCCCAGCCGGCUGCACUCGGUCAGCCACCUGCCAGGACUCCAGGACGCGGCAUGCAGGGCUACGAGAGCCUCCCGAUCCUGGUGGGAACAGAAGCGGACAGCUUCCCGCUGAGGGAGAUCCAUGCUUGCAAGACCGAGGCCUCUGAGCAAUGGGACUAUGUCCUCGUGGCCAACCGUAGCACCCAGGGAAAGCCCAGGCAGGUGUACCAGCAGCAGCAGUUCCUGGAGGAGCUCAGGAGAAAGGGCUUCUAUUUCAAGGUGAAUAGAGACAAGAAAAAGGUGUUCUUUGGGAUCCGAGCCGACAACAGCAUCUUUGACCUGUACCGCGCCCUGCUCCUGGACCCCGAGGGCCCUGGGUCCAGAGUGGAGCCAGAGACAGAGACGCUGAGCCCCAUCCCAGCCACCACCAGAAUCCGAGUCCUGGACUUCAUCCUGAGAAAGACAACGGCAGAUGGAAAGACAUUCGAGGAUUUGGUGAAGGAUGGAGUCUUUGAGACCAAGUUCCCCCUGCACAAGGGGGAGGCAGAGCUGAAGAAGACCUGGGCCCAGUGGAGGAAAAUGGGCCGCAGGCAGCCCAUCGACCAGAUCAGGGACUACUUCGGUGAGAAGGUGGCGCUCUACUUCGUCUGGCUCGGCUGGUACACCUGCAUGCUGGUGCCCGCAGCCCUGGUGGGCCUGGGCAUCUUUCUGAGCGGGUUCACUCUCUUCGAGUCCAGCCAGAUCAGCAAGGAGAUCUGUGAUGCCCACACCAUCUUUCUGUGUCCUCUCGGCGACCACGGCCGGAAGUUCCAGCGGCUCUCAGACACCUGCACCUUUGCCAAGCUCACACACCUCUUCGACAACGACAGCACGGUGGUGUUUGCCAUCUUCAUGGCUCUGUGGGCCACGGUGUUCCUGGAGAUCUGGAAGCGGCAGCGAGCCCGCGUGGUGCUGCACUGGGACCUGUACGGGUGGGACGAGGACCAGGAAGAAAUGGCGCUCCAGCUCAUUAACUGCCCCGACUACAAGCUCCGGCGGCACCAGCACUCCUACUGGCGCAGCAGCAUCAUCCUCGCCGUGUCUCUGCUCAUGAUCUGCUUCAUGAUCGGCAUGGCCCACGUCCUGGUGGUCUACCGCGUGCUGGCCGCCGCCCUCUUCAGCAGCUUGGCCUUGCCCUUCCUGGAGGAGCAGGUCACCACGGCCGUGGUGGCGACCGGGGCCCUGGUGCACUACAUGACCAUAGUCAUCAUGACCAAGGUCAACAAGGCGGUGGCCCUGAAGCUUUGUGACUUUGAGAAGCCCAGGACCUUCGCGGAGCGGGAGAGGAAGUUCACGGUCCUGUUCUUCAUCCUGCAGUUCUUUGCACACUUCUCCUCCCUCGUGUACAUUGCCUUCAUCUUGGGCAGGAUCAACGGCCACCCUGGGAAGUCCACGCGCCUGGCCGGCCUUUGGAAGCUAGAGGAGUGCCACCUCAGCGGCUGCAUGAUGGACCUGUUCCUGCAGAUGGCCAUCAUCAUGGGCCUCAAGCAGACGCUCAGCAACUGCUUCGAGUACCUGUGCCCGUGGCUGGCACACCGCUGGCGCUGCUUGUUCGCCUUGGAGCCCCAGGACCCCGAGCUCAGGGACUGGCAGCGCAACUACCUCCUGAACUCCGUCUAUCCCUUCAGCCUGUUCGACGAGUUCAUGGAGAUGAUGAUCCAGUACGGCUUCACCACCAUCUUCGUGGCCGCCUUCCCGCUGGCGCCGCUGCUGGCGCUGUUCAGCAACCUCGUGGAGAUCCGCCUGGACGCCAUCAAGAUGGUGCGGCUGCAGCGGCGGCUAGUACCGCGCACCGCCAAGGACAUCGGGACCUGGCUGCAGGUUCUGGAGACCAUCGGUGUGCUAGCGGUCAUCGCCAACGGGAUGGUCAUUGCUUUCACGUCUGAGUUCAUCCCGAGAGUGGUCUACAAGUACCGCUAUGGCCCGUGCCGACAGGGGGCUCACUCUGAAGUUGAGUAAGGCCUCAAGCUGUCUGACCCCUGGGAGGAACUGGCCCCACCACAGCCAAGCCCCAGGGGAGCCCCAACCCUUUAUCCAGGGAAUGGCUGGAUCACCUGCGGGGUGGGGGGAGGGGUGGCGCUGUCCUGCCCUAACCUGCAGACCCUGGGCUGGAGCUCAGGGAUGACUGACCUAGGCCCUCACUGGGGGUGCAGGUCCCAGCUCCAGCUGUUUUCUGAGCAGGCACCACCAGAACGCUCCGCUCCCAAACUAGGUCCUUGCUUCUGGUGUGGGAGGGCAGAGCAGAGUCUCACCCAACUGCUCUGGCCCUCAAGGGGCCAUCACAGCUGCAGACCAGGUCUCCAGAGGCUGCCUCACAGGCUACGUCAACCACAGCCUGUCCAUCUUCUACACCAAGGACUUCCAGGACCCCGCUGGGAUAGAG
Molecule: non-coding RNA, 2448 nt
Organism: Microcebus murinus (gray mouse lemur)
Lineage: Eukaryota; Metazoa; Chordata; Mammalia; Primates; Cheirogaleidae
Source: RefSeq, a predicted model, not a curated record